This is a long non-coding RNA of Pollicipes pollicipes, 284 nucleotides long. RefSeq lists it as uncharacterized. The transcript has 3 exons. The record is from RefSeq and is a predicted model, not a curated record. NCBI's taxonomy places the organism in Eukaryota, Metazoa, Arthropoda, Thecostraca, Pollicipedomorpha, Pollicipedidae.
AUCACUUUGUGGUUUUCUCUGAGCCGCGUUUGCGGAAAAUCGAACUAAAGUUGAGUACGAAACGGAUACGAAUACUACCAAACACAUGCUCAUCAGACGCCCGGCCGGCCUCACAGCGUUCCAAGUGGCGCUGGUGACUGUGCUCGGCACGCUCGGCGGCUUCUACAUCUGGCGGCCGGGCUUCGUGCAGCGCCGGGAACCCGAGGCACCGCCCCCGCAGCAGCAGCCGCCGCCGCCGCCGCCGCCGCCCACACGAUGACGCUGCUGUCUGGCGUGCUGAAGGC